AACUAUCAUGGCGAUGGGGUUCGCCAUAAACACUGCCCCUGGCGGUUGAUAACCCCUACCAAAUU
Molecule: non-coding RNA, 65 nt
Filed under: Clostridiales bacterium PH28_bin88
Lineage: Bacteria; Bacillati; Bacillota; Clostridia; Eubacteriales
Also listed under: 1 other name
Description: Fluoride riboswitch aptamer (crcB RNA motif)
Rfam family: Fluoride riboswitch aptamer (crcB RNA motif)
Source: Rfam by way of RNAcentral